AGAGUUUGAUCCUGGCUCAGGACGAACGCUGGCGGCGUGCUUAACACAUGCAAGUCGAACGAUGAUGCCAGCUUGCUGGUGGAUUAGUGGCGAACGGGUGAGUAACACGUGAGUAACCUGCCCUUAACUCUGGGAUAAGCCUGGGAAACUGGGUCUAAUACCGGAUAUGACUCCUCAUCGCAUGGUGGGGGGUGGAAAGCUUUUUGUGGUUUUGGAUGGACUCGCGGCCUAUCAGCUUGUUGGUGAGGUAAUGGCUCACCAAGGCGACGACGGGUAGCCGGCCUGAGAGGGUGACCGGCCACACUGGGACUGAGACACGGCCCAGACUCCUACGGGAGGCAGCAGUGGGGAAUAUUGCACAAUGGGCGCAAGCCUGAUGCAGCGACGCCGCGUGAGGGAUGACGGCCUUCGGGUUGUAAACCUCUUUCAGUAGGGAAGAAGCGAAAGUGACGGUACCUGCAGAAGAAGCGCCGGCUAACUACGUGCCAGCAGCCGCGGUAAUACGUAGGGCGCAAGCGUUAUCCGGAAUUAUUGGGCGUAAAGAGCUCGUAGGCGGUUUGUCGCGUCUGCCGUGAAAGUCCGGGGCUCAACUCCGGAUCUGCGGUGGGUACGGGCAGACUAGAGUGAUGUAGGGGAGACUGGAAUUCCUGGUGUAGCGGUGAAAUGCGCAGAUAUCAGGAGGAACACCGAUGGCGAAGGCAGGUCUCUGGGCAUUAACUGACGCUGAGGAGCGAAAGCAUGGGGAGCGAACAGGAUUAGAUACCCUGGUAGUCCAUGCCGUAAACGUUGGGCACUAGGUGUGGGGGACAUUCCACGUUUUCCGCGCCGUAGCUAACGCAUUAAGUGCCCCGCGGGGGAGUACGGCCGCAAGGCUAAAACUCAAAGGAAUUGACGG
This 895-nucleotide ribosomal RNA is filed under the name Arthrobacter sp. RNAcentral's name for it is "bacterial SSU rRNA". It matches the Rfam family "Bacterial small subunit ribosomal RNA", at positions 8 to 916 of the family's 1533-position model. Lineage: Bacteria; Bacillati; Actinomycetota; Actinomycetes; Micrococcales; Micrococcaceae. The record is from RNAcentral.